UCUGGAUAAGGGGGUGACUACCUUAUUCACUAUCAUUCCUGGCAAUUAAAGAAUGUUAACUCCAACUGAACACCAGAUGAAUUGGCCCUCAAUUAAACACAUCUGUCCAGAAAUAUAAAAUCACCCAAAACUAAAAAUUUACUAAAGUGAAGCAUGCUCCUUAGAGUGAGAUCCUGUCUCUACAAAAAACUGUUUUAAAAGUUAGCCAGGCAGGGUGGCAUGUACCUGGAGUCCCAGCUACUCAGGAGGCUGAGGGAGGAGGAUCCCUUGUGCCCAGGAGAUCAAGGCAUAGCCAACAUGCUAAUGAACUCUUUUCUCAGUUAAUUCCACUAAUUAGUUAUCUCUUCUUGUUCUGCCAGAAUCCCAACCCUUUUACAAUCUACUCAUCAAAUCCAUCAGGCCACAUAUUAUGCCUUCCUAGAGGAACACUUUUCGUGAUGACACUUUGUAAACAAGGCAAUCUGAUGCUGCCUGUUCUAUCUUCCCAGAUCUAGUUGAUAGUUCAAAACAUCAACAUUAACCACAAGUAAAAUAUGCUU
This 539-nucleotide long non-coding RNA is filed under the name Homo sapiens (human). RNAcentral describes it as "non-protein coding lnc-SLC9A8-3:3". The record is from RNAcentral. Lineage: Eukaryota; Metazoa; Chordata; Mammalia; Primates; Hominidae.